UGGGGAAUUUUGCGCAAUGGGCGAAAGCCUGACGCAGCAACGCCGCGUGCGGGAUGAAGGCCUUCGGGUUGUAAACCGCUUUCAGCAGGGACGAAACUGACUGUACCUGCAGAAGAAGCCCCGGCUAACUACGUGCCAGCAGCCGCGGUAAUACGUAGGGGGCAAGCGUUAUCCGGAUUUAUUGGGCGUAAAGAGCGCGUAGGCGGUUUGUUAAGUCAGAUGUGAAAACUGGGGGCUCAACCCGCAGCCUGCAUCUGAAACUGGCAGACUUGAGUCUGGUAGAGGAAAGUGGAAUUCCCAGUGUAGCGGUGAAAUGCGCAGAUAUUGGGAGGAACACCAGUGGCGAAGGCGGCUUUCUGGGCCACGACUGACGCUGAGGCGCGAAAGCUAGGGGAGCAAACAGG
This 404-nucleotide ribosomal RNA is filed under the name uncultured bacterium. Its description in RNAcentral is "bacterial SSU rRNA". It matches the Rfam family "Bacterial small subunit ribosomal RNA", at positions 355 to 776 of the family's 1533-position model. The record is from RNAcentral.